Vespa crabro (European hornet) is the source of this 365-nucleotide long non-coding RNA. RefSeq lists it as uncharacterized. The record is from RefSeq and is a predicted model, not a curated record. The transcript is spliced from 2 exons. Lineage: Eukaryota; Metazoa; Arthropoda; Insecta; Hymenoptera; Vespidae.
CUUAAAAUAAUUUUAGUAUAAGAUUCCAAUACUUUAUCGACUGAUGGUCAAAAUAAGAAUCUAUUUUACCAUCAGUCGGGAGCGAAGAAAAUCUACUUUACGGAAAAUCUAUUUUUACGAUCCAUAAUAGGAAUCUAUUUUUAUUCGUCGUCUGUAAAAAAAGGAAUUUACUUUUAUCCAUCGUCGGACUCAUUGUUGGCGUAAACCGAUUAAGAAAUUUGUUUGAUGAAUAACCUUCAAACAAAAAUAGUACAUUAAUAUAGAACAACAAAAGUUGGCACUGGAGUUUUCGAAGACUUUGAAGGGAAAAUAACAAAUAAUGACAACUGAGCCACUGACAGAACAAAACCAACUGAGUUCUGAAA